GAUGAACGCUGGCGGCGUGCUUAACACAUGCAAGUCGAACGGGAAACCUUUUAUUGAAGCUUCGGCAGAUUUAGCUGGUGUCUAGUUGCGGACGGGUGAGUAACGCGUGGGUAACCUGCCUUAUACAGGGGGAUAACAGUCAUAAAUGGCUGCUAAUACCGCAUAAGCGCACAGAGCUGCAUGGCUCAGUGUGAAAAACUCCGGUGGUAUAAGAUGGACCCGCGUUGGAUUAGCUGGUUGGUAGGGUAACGGCCCACCAAGGCGGCGAUCCAUAGCCGGCCUGGGAGGGUGAACGGUCACAAUGGGACUGAGGCACGGCCCAGACCCCGACGGGAGGCAGCAGUGGGGAAUAUUGCACAAUGAGGGAGACCCUGAUGCAGCGACGCCGCGUGAAGGAAGCAGUAUCUCGGUAUGUAAACUUCUAUCAGCAGGGAAGAUAGUGACGGUACCUGACUAAGAAGCCCCGGCUAACUACGUG
This 478-nucleotide ribosomal RNA is filed under the name uncultured bacterium. RNAcentral's name for it is "partial 16S ribosomal RNA". It matches the Rfam family "Bacterial small subunit ribosomal RNA", at positions 28 to 507 of the family's 1533-position model. The record is from RNAcentral.